UUGUUCCUACGGGGGGCAGCAGUGAGGAAUAUUGGUCAAUGGGCUUACGCCUGAACCAGCCACGUCGCGUGAGGGAAGACUGCCCUAUGGGUUGUAAACCUCUUUUGUCAGGGAGCAACGCCGGCUACGUGUAGCCGGACUGAGAGUACCUGAAGAAAAAGCAUCGGCUAACUCCGUGCCAGCAGCCGCGGUAAUACGGAGGAUGCGAGCGUUAUCCUGAUUUAUUGGGUUUAAAGGGUGCGUAGGCGGAAUGCCAAGUCAGCGUCACAAUCGCGGGGCUCAACCUC
RNAcentral lists this ribosomal RNA (287 nucleotides) under uncultured bacterium. Its description in RNAcentral is "partial 16S ribosomal RNA". It matches the Rfam family "Bacterial small subunit ribosomal RNA", at positions 333 to 616 of the family's 1533-position model. The record is from RNAcentral.